GAGACAGAGUGUUCCCUCCCUCCAUCGCUUCUUUCCUGCUUCCUGCUGGUCAGAACGCAGACUCAGUGUCUGAUCUGGAGCAGGACCUGGAGCCAUGAGUGAGGAGCCUUAUGCUGAGCUGGGCGGAGCAACAAGAUAGAGGGGGCCUGGGCCUUGAUGUCUCAGAGUCACUGUGCUGGCCCUGGACUGCCCACAUUUACAUGACAGAGCUUCAUCUUUAUCUUAUUAAAGGUGUGUCCAGAGGAAACUCAGUGCCACAGUGAUCUGACAUCCGCCAUCGCUGAUGUAAAAAACACGCAAAAAACUUGGCUCUAAUUGUUGGAAACGUUGCAUCAUUUCUUUUUCUCCUUGAACUUGUAAUCUGCUGGCAAGAUUUGAUGAAAAUACCUCCUGUUUUUAUGCUUGGAAGUCUUUUAUUGAUCAUUACUGCAACAAAAACACGUAUAAAUUAAACUUGAAAAUUUGCAAAUGUCUGUGACCACAAUGCUUUCAGUGUUUCACACAUGAUUCUGAAUUGCAUUAUCCCAGCAAUUAUGAGUGCGGCACAAUUGACGAAAACAAUGUAACAAUAGCGGGGCUGUUUUUCCAUUAAUUCACGUAUUGAUGAAUGAAUACUACUUAUGGUUAUGAAGGGACAGCUUUCAGCACCAAUGCUAUCCUGCUCCAUUUCUUCUUUUUAAUUUUGGUUUGGUUGGUGUAAGCCUGGUGAACUUUGCUUAGAUAAACAGACGGGAAUCGAAGAGUUUCUGUUAUAUUGAAUGCCUUCCACCCAAAGGGGCUGCCUUGCUUUCUGGCUUCGGAAUGAGCGUUGCCAACGGGUGAGGAGAUCCAGCGGGAGAUAGAAGGGUGGGCAGUGAGUGAGGUGGGGGGUCUUCAUUCCUCUGGAUCCCACUCGGUGUAGCCCCCGCUGCCUGCAUCCACUCCAGGUCACAGCUCCUGUCUGCAGGGCCUCCCCCUCCACGCACCCGCCGUGGAGCCCUCUGUCUCCAGAUUCCAGAACUCUCCCUCCCCUCCCCCCGCCCAGGGCCGCACUGGUAAGAGCCAGGGACCUGUCCUUUGUAAUUUCCCUUCAUCUUGCCUGCAGGUUCUGUGUCGUGCCUUUAUGAACCUAGCCUGAAAUUAGCAAAUGUGGGUGUGCCAUCUGUUUCCUGCUGGAGUCCCGACUGAUCAAUCCUUCUUUUAUAAAGUGGAAGAAGGGCAUUUGUAAAAGAGGAUGUGGAAAGGAAGAACCCACGGAGCACGCACGUCAGUCAAAGGUCUGGAAAUCGAUUAUCUGCAAACUGUCUGUGCCUGUGAACCCUAGAAAGUCACUAUGUACCCCAGGGGUCUGAGUGCUUCAGUUCGAUGAUGGCUGAUCGAAUACCUGACCAUCUGCCCCUCUCGUCUCUGCCCCGUAAUUGCAAGGACAAUGCUGGGAACCAAAGUCAUUAGAGAAGGCUGAUGAGUUGUUUAGCAUCUGGGCUAAAGGAUGCUGGGGGAGCCCCUGAGGCCACAGUGUGCAUCCGUUGCCCUCAGAGCAGGGAGGCCAGUCUCCUCCUUGAGCUGACCUUUGGGGGCUGCUCUCAGGAGCCCAGGGCCUCGCAGUCGUCUGCUGGAGUUGAGCACUUCUCACCCCCGCCGGGGAGCCCGCCUGCUUGAUCCGCCGGGCUCUCGGCAGCGCUGAUUUAGAAAUUCCAGACAGCCCAUCGAGAGUUCUUGAUUGCAGCAGCGGGCCACUGAUCUACAAUAACAUGUAAAAAGAUAGGGGUCCCCAGGCAGGACGGCAGCUGCAGUUUAAGUUGAAAUUGGAGUUAAAUGUGUGCUGGAUGCACCUCUUGGCAGAAGGGGGGCAGCAGGAAGGUGGAUAGGGGAGAGACUUCUCAUUUCCCAUCCCUGAAUUGGGCUAGAAACCCCAGGGUCGUUGCCCAGUAGUCUAGGUGUCACCAUCCCCAUUGAGACCGGAGGCUCCUGGCAAUGGCCAUGGGUGUGUUCGCAUCAGCUGCUGGUGGGUCUUCUCCCCCAGGCUCAUCCAGAGGUAGGCCAGCCUUUCUUCCUUUCUGCCCUCCUUCUUUCUAUCUUGCCUGUCCUUGAUUUUGUCCCACUUCCCCACUGAAUGCUCGGGAUUAGAUUUUCAUACCAGGGAGAGGCUCAUGCAUCUCCGUCCAUCUGGGUUGUCACCUGGUCUUCGUGAGGAAAAUGAGGUGAUGGAUGUACACCAUCUUAGAGCACUUUGCUGGGAAGGCAGGAAAUCAAUCCAGCCUGUUUCAGCCCAUCUCUCCUGCUCUGCUCGGCUGCGUGAGCCCCUGGGACCAGGCUGGGGCGGGCGGAGUGGAAAGGAACCUGCUCCUGCCUGGACAGGCUCAGAUGACCCCCACCGCCCUCCCCUGCAUUAAAUCAGAGGCUGUGGGGAGAAAGGGCGGAGGGAGGUGAUGCUCAUCGUCUCCCCCGGGGGGAACAGGUGUUCUCACCUCUUGCCUGGGUUAACUGGCUCAGUCACUUUGUGGUCGGUCUUGUUUCUGUUUUCAGAAAAAGAAACUGAGGCUCAGAGAGGAGCAAUAACUCAGCCAAGC
RNAcentral lists this long non-coding RNA (2549 nucleotides) under Equus caballus (horse). RNAcentral's name for it is "lncRNA (ENSECAG00000056552.1)". The record is from RNAcentral. Lineage: Eukaryota; Metazoa; Chordata; Mammalia; Perissodactyla; Equidae.